GGUUCAGUGGUCUAGUGGUUAUGAUUUCUGUCUCACAAAAGCUUCACCGGCACACAGAAGGUCCCCGGUUCGACCCCGGGCUGAACCA
This is a non-coding RNA of Crucibulum laeve, 88 nucleotides long. The record is from the annotation of a GenBank genome assembly. Lineage: Eukaryota; Fungi; Basidiomycota; Agaricomycetes; Agaricales; Nidulariaceae.